CCUUCAAUGCAGAAGAGUUGAGGUGGUUGAGUAUCUCGCCCCUCAAUUCUCGCUGUAUUUUACCCUUGUUUUUCUCAUACUAUUAUUCCUCGGCAGGCCAGCCUGCCGGGUGAAACAACUUCAAACCUGUUUAAUUUUCAAUCAGCGUCUGAACAAAUUAAUAAUUA
This 167-nucleotide unclassified non-coding RNA is filed under the name soil metagenome. RNAcentral describes it as "partial internal transcribed spacer 1". The record is from RNAcentral.